GGGCGUAAAGGGCGCCGUUAGGCGGUUUGACAGUUCUGAAUGUGAAAUCUAUGGGCUCAACUCAUAGCCUGCAUUAAAACUGUCGGGCUUUGAGUAUGGGAGAGGUGAGUUGGAAUCUCCGGUGUAGCGGUGAAAUGCGUAGAUAUCGGAAGGAACACCUGUGGCGAAAGCGGCUCACUGGACCAUAACUGACGCUGAGGCGCGAAAGCUAGGGGAGCAAACAGGAUUAGAUACUCUGGUAGUUUUAGCUUUAAACGAUGAUUGCUUGGUGUAGCAGGUACUUAAUCCUGCUGUGCCGAAGCUAACGCGAUAAGCAAUCCGCCUGGGGAGUACGGUCGCAAGGCUGAAACUCAAAGGAAUCGACGGGGGCUUGCACAAGCGGUGGAGCAUGUGGUUUAAUUUCGACGCAACGCGAAAAACUUUACCUGGGCUUGAAAUGUAGUGGAAAUCCGGUGGAAAACAUUCGGCGUUCUAGCAAUAGACUUGCUAUAUAGGUUGCUUGCAUUGGCUUGUUCGUCAGCUUCGUGUCCGUGAGAUUGUUUGGGGUUUAAGUUCCCGCAACGAGCGCAACCCCUUUAUUCUUUCAGUUUGCUACCCAUUUUAGUUUGAGCACUUCUGACGAAACUCGCCCUCGGAUAACGGGGAGGAAGGGUGGGGGGAUGACGUUCAAGUCCCUUCAUGGCCCUUUAUGUCCCAGGGCUACACACGUGCUACAAAUGGCUCGGGUACAAAUCGCUGCAAAUCUCGCGAGGGGGAGCUAAUCGGAAAAAGUCGGCCUCAGUUCGGGAUUGGAGUCUGCAACUUCGACUCCCAUGAAGCUGGAAUCGCUAGUAUCGCAGAUCAGCAUGCUGCGGUGAAUACGUCUCCCGGGCCUUGUACACCCC
RNAcentral lists this ribosomal RNA (884 nucleotides) under uncultured bacterium. RNAcentral describes it as "bacterial SSU rRNA". It matches the Rfam family "Bacterial small subunit ribosomal RNA", at positions 556 to 1391 of the family's 1533-position model. The record is from RNAcentral.